Molecule: RNA transcript, 2167 nt
Organism: Pan troglodytes (chimpanzee)
Lineage: Eukaryota; Metazoa; Chordata; Mammalia; Primates; Hominidae
Gene: STK17A
Gene name: serine/threonine kinase 17a
Exons: 9
Source: RefSeq, a predicted model, not a curated record
AGGGUGCAGGGCAGGCGCGGGGCGGUCACGGGGGCGGGGCCGGUCGCGGGGCGCGGGGCAGGCCCGAGCUACCGGUAGUCUGCCUGCCGCAGUCCGAGCGCCGCGCUGGGGAGAGCGGGUGUUUGAAGGCUCCGCGGACCGGCACUAGGAGCCGGGGGCGGGUCCGUGACCCUCCGGCUGCUCGGAGCGAACAGGCGGCCAGGAAAGAAGCGGGCCUGAACACCAUGAUCCCUUUGGAGAAGCCAGGCAGCGGCGGCUCCUCCCCAGGCGCCACCUCAGGCUCGGGCCGGGCAGGCCGGGGUCUGAGCGGGCCGUGCCGGCCGCCGCCGCCGCCCCAGGCCCGCGGGCUGCUGACAGAGAUACGCGCCGUGGUGCGCACCGAGCCCUUCCAGGACGGCUACAGCCUGUGCCCGGGCCGGGAGCUGGGCAGGGGGAAAUUUGCAGUGGUGAGAAAAUGUAUAAAGAAAGAUUCUGGGAAAGAAUUUGCUGCAAAGUUCAUGAGAAAAAGAAGAAAAGGCCAAGAUUGUCGGAUGGAAAUAAUUCAUGAGAUUGCUGUACUUGAAAUAGCACAAGACAAUCCUUGGGUCAUUAAUUUACAUGAAGUUUAUGAGACUGCAUCAGAAAUGAUCUUAGUUCUGGAAUAUGCUGCUGGGGGUGAAAUCUUUGACCAGUGUGUUGCAGACAGAGAAGAAGCCUUUAAAGAAAAAGAUGUUCAAAGACUUAUGCGACAGAUUUUAGAAGGUGUUCACUUUUUACACACUCGUGAUGUAGUUCAUCUUGAUUUGAAGCCUCAGAAUAUUCUGUUGACAAGUGAAUCUCCAUUGGGUGACAUUAAGAUUGUUGAUUUUGGCCUUUCAAGAAUAUUGAAGAACAGUGAAGAGCUCCGAGAAAUUAUGGGUACCCCUGAAUAUGUGGCUCCUGAAAUUCUUAGUUAUGAUCCUAUAAGCAUGGCAACAGAUAUGUGGAGCAUUGGAGUGUUAACAUAUGUCAUGCUUACAGGAAUAUCACCUUUCUUAGGCAAUGAUAAACAAGAAACAUUCUUAAACAUCUCACAGAUGAAUUUAAGUUAUUCUGAGGAAGAAUUUGAUGUUUUGUCUGAGUCGGCUGUUGAUUUCAUCAGGACACUUUUAGUUAAGAAACCUGAAGAUCGAGCCACUGCUGAAGAAUGUCUAAAGCACCCCUGGUUGACACAGAGCAGUAUUCAAGAGCCUUCUUUCAGGAUGGAAAAGGCACUAGAAGAAGCAAAUGCCCUCCAAGAAGGUCAUUCUGUGCCUGAAAUUAAUUCAGAUACCGACAAAUCAGAAACCGAGGAAUCCAUUGUAACCGAAGAGUUAAUUGUAGUUACUUCAUAUACUCUAGGACAAUGCAGACAGUCUGAAAAAGAGAAAAUGGAGCAAAAGGCCAUUUCCAAACGAUUUAAAUUUGAGGAACCUUUGCUACAAGAAAUUCCAGGAGAAUUUAUCUACUGAGCAGUAUUUCCCUUUAGAACUUCAAGAUUUCUACAUUGAAAAUGUUAAUAUUAUUUAUGGACCUCUGGCCAAAUGGUACAUGUACUGGAAGUGGAUAACCAGUAUCACUUACACAAACAAAUUAACUUUGUCAAAUUUGUGGAGUUAGGUGGAAGCCAGAUUUUAAAAGUUGCCAACCAGGAGAUUUAACAGUUUCCUGGAACCUAGCAUUCCUAAACAAGCUCCAAAAUGCAGAAGAAGAAAUUGUGCCACAGUGAUAGAGUUUUUAAUGAAUAUCCAUGGCCACAGUGUUGAGUCUCAGAUGGACAAACUGAAAACGCCAGAGUCAAGUGGCCUAAAGCCACUUCCAAAGCUGCUUGCUUUGGGAAAACCCUUCAGAACUGCCGCUUCUUGAGCAUUUCCCUGGCCUUGCUGGUGGCCAGAGGACAGAAGGAACUAUUGUUAAGUUCUGGCUGUUUUGUGUAUAUGUAAUUUUAGUGUCACUGUUCCUGUAUACAAAUUUUACCUAAACUCAGCAAUAAAACCUUAUCAGGUAUUAUCAAGUCCUUGGGUUGGUGAAUAGGGAAUGUUUGCAGGCAAGAGGAGGCUAAUUCUAGGAAAAUUGAACAAAGACAGUAAACUCUGUGACUGACUUACUUACUUGAAAGUCAUACAGGUCUUGUCAGUACACAUUCAGCACAAUCUCUGAAACCUUCAUU